RCUMGCAAGAKUGAWCGAGCUWWCUGAAAGAUUAUAAUNUAAUHUUAGGAAAUAAYURWUKMACCUGAGGUAUUAGUGUCGUCUAAAAUCUGGUGCCAGCAGACUCGGUAACACCAGAGACGCGAACGUUAAUCAUCUUAAAUUGGCAUAAAGGGUGCGCAGGCAGCUUUAAAUUAUUGAAGCUAGAAUCUAAUAGAGGUUGAUUAAAUGCUUAGUUCAGAGCUGAUAUUCGGAGACACUAAGUAGAAAACUAAAGGCGUAAGCCGUCUUCCAUUAAAGAUUGACGCUAAGGCACGAAAGUUGGGGCAGGAAAAAAGAUUAGAGACCUUUGUACUCCCAACCGUAAACGAUGAAUGUAAGACGCUCUAAUAUUAGAAGAGUGUCGAAGUGAAAUACGAUAAACAUUCCGCCUUGCCAGUAUACUUGCAAAAGUGAAAACAAAAAAAUUAGUCGGUUCUAAAGYDRACG
Molecule: ribosomal RNA, 468 nt
Filed under: Sistotrema oblongisporum
Lineage: Eukaryota; Fungi; Basidiomycota; Agaricomycetes; Cantharellales; Hydnaceae
Description: partial small subunit ribosomal RNA
Rfam family: Bacterial small subunit ribosomal RNA
Source: RNAcentral